GAAGUAGCUCAGCUUGGUAGAGCACUUGGUUUGGGACCAAGGGGUCGCAGGUUCAAAUCCUGUCUUCC
RNAcentral lists this transfer RNA (68 nucleotides) under Staphylococcus schleiferi. It matches the Rfam family "tRNA". From Rfam's summary of the family: Transfer RNA (tRNA) molecules are approximately 80 nucleotides in length. RNAcentral also lists the same sequence under 3 other names. The record is from RNAcentral. Lineage: Bacteria; Bacillati; Bacillota; Bacilli; Caryophanales; Staphylococcaceae.